UCCCUCUCAGGUGACCAGGAGCCACUUGACCAGCCCCCAAGGCCGGAGAGGCAGCAGCAGCCGCCAGCUGGCGCACAGGACUGUCCUCGGUGUCUCAUGCUACAGAGAGAAAUAGACGAUCUUAAAGAGCAGCUUGCGGCCAUGCGGUCCCUGACUGACAAGUUCCAGAGCCUUUGAAGUUGAGCCCAGCAUCUCUGCGCACGAGGAGCAGCUGGUGCCUUUGGAGCCAGGGAGCUGUGGCCAAGCCGGUUCCCUCCUGUUCGACCUCGGCCAAGACUUCCUCUGCCUGUUCUUUUGCCCCCUCCCCAGCCCUGUUCACAGCAGUU
Long non-coding RNA from Lutra lutra (Eurasian river otter), 326 nucleotides. RefSeq lists it as uncharacterized. NCBI's taxonomy places the organism in Eukaryota, Metazoa, Chordata, Mammalia, Carnivora, Mustelidae. The record is from RefSeq and is a predicted model, not a curated record. The transcript is spliced from 4 exons.